RNAcentral lists this ribosomal RNA (764 nucleotides) under Praslinia cooperi. Its description in RNAcentral is "partial 16S ribosomal RNA". It matches the Rfam family "Bacterial large subunit ribosomal RNA", at positions 1490 to 2554 of the family's 2925-position model. Lineage: Eukaryota; Metazoa; Chordata; Amphibia; Gymnophiona; Indotyphlidae. The record is from RNAcentral.
UCAAAACCCAUCAAACCCAAUGAGUCCGCCUAUAACACUAUAGCAAAAUUUAUGCUAGAACUAGUAAUAAGAAACUUCGAUUUUCUCCAUGCAUCCAUGUAAAUCAGCACGAACUAAUCACUGAUAUUUAUCAACACAGUUCACCCAAACAAUUACACUAGACAUUCAACCUCAAUUUUCUGUUAACCCAACACAGGAAUGCACCAAAGAAAGACAAAAAAGUAAAGAAGGAACUCGGCAACUACAAGCUUCGCCUGUUUACCAAAAACAUCACCUCUAGCAAACCUAGACAUGUAUUAGAGCACUGCCUGCCCAGUGAUUUUAUUCAACGGCCGCGGUAUUCUGACCGUGCAAAGGUAGCAUAAUCACUUGUCCUUUAAAUAAGGACUAGUAUGAACGGCAUCACGAAAGCCUAACUGUCUCCUUUACUUAGUCAAUGAAACUGAUCUCCCCGUACAAAAGCGGGAAUACAAUAACAAGACGAGAAGACCCUAUGGAACUUAAAACACACAACCACUUUAAUAAAACAUAUUAAAAUAACUGGACAUAUUGUUUUUGGUUGGGGCGACCGCGGAGAAAACCUAACCUCCGAGAAACACUACUAAGAUAAACACAACAAAGUACAAAAAACUUUGAACUACAUGACCCAAUAAAUUUGAUCAACGAACCAAGCUACCCUAGGGAUAACAGCGCAAUCUUCUCCAAGAGUCCCUAUCACCAAGAAGGUUUACGACCUCGAUGUUGGAUCAGGAUAUCCUGACAGU